AUAUGGCUGCUAACGCCAUCGCUUCAACUCUGUCCUUGCCCAUUUUAAAUUCGUAUUCCACACAAGUAAAUUCUACUCGGUCUCAGCAAGGGUCUAAAAUGUAGAAUUAUGCCUGUUAAUUCUGCCUCCGUCAAGGAGCACCCAUUUAGAAAAGACAAAACUAAACAAAACCCAAAGUGGCCCUUCUCAGUGCCAGCCCGGAGCACUUGGUUUCCCAGCAAAAGACACCGGUACAGCCCCAGUGGGAAACUCCCGGCCUCAGUUCGAUCUCCAAGUUAAUCACUGGGGCGCCUUCACAGCAGCCCCCGCCCCCCCCGCCUCCCUUCUCCUGGUCACCCGCGUCCUCCCCGAGCGCUUCCUGUGCGCCUGGACCAAGACCAGAGGAGCGCGCGGAUUCCCAAAGCACCGCAGGAGGAAUGAGUUGGUCUUCUGAUUCUGGGCGAUUUGAGGCAGAAGACUUCCCAGAUGACCUCUAGCCGCCUUGGCAAAAUUAGGCGACUAGAAUCUAAAAGCAUCGGUUGCUAAUGAGUCCACAGAAGCCACAAAUGUGUGCGGCGGGAGCUGGGCUAUUGCAAGCGGGAGCCAGGGAGGAGGCGUAGCAGCUCUUGCCGCGGAUGUGGUGGUGGAUGAUGCCAAGUCCUCUUGUUUUUUUUUUUUUUGUUUUUUUUUAAAGGAAGUAAAGAAUGAUGAAUGAUUAAGAGGGCCAUGGGCCACUCCCUCGGCCUCUCUAACCUCUCUUGGUCUCUUUCCUCUCUGUCUUUUGUACAUGCACCUGCCCAGGUGAGAUGUCACAGGAAAAUAAAACGGUGGGUCAGUCUUCUCUGGUAAGAAAUUAAAGCCCAAAUUAGGUGGAGAAAGUGGAGACCGAUAAUAGCUCCUAACAAUGUCUCCCACUUGUGCGUUUUUCUUUAUUGGCUAAUAAAUCAAAUUAUCCAUCGUGACUGUGUGUUUACAGAAGAGAUCUUUUUUUUUUUCCUAGACCUGAAUUAUUUAGAUAUUUUCUGUCUUGGUUCAGUUUCUGAUAUUCUGCAGAAACCCUGCUUAAAUGAAGGAUAAAAUGAGACCACCAGUUUCAAGCAUGGCAAGAAUGAAAAUGAAAAGGAUUCGUCUGAAGGCUUAAUCAAAAUGGCUACUUCAAAAUAUCAGGAACUGCUGGAAAUAUGGAUAUCAGCAUGUGAAUGAUUGCUUGAACCAUGAAAAUGAAUGAAAUCAUCCAACCUGCAAUUUCGAAGAAAGGAAAGAGUCAGUCAGUGCCAGGAGGAAACUUGAGACGUGGGCAUUAAGGAGAGGUGGAGAAUGAUGCCAGACGACAAACUGACGAACAAUAGAGCAUGAAAUAGGAGAGAUGUUAGCUUAGCAUCCCAGAAGUCAAAGAGAGAGGCUUUUGAAACAGGUUAAUUAGUCAGUAUUUCCAAACAUCACAAAGAGAUUGAAUAAAAUGAGGACUGAAAAGCAUGUCCACUGAAUUGGACAGAGCAGAAGAGAUUUCUGUGGUCCUCAUGACAACAGUUUGAGAAGAGCAGUGUAGGGAGACAUAAUACUCUGGUUUGUGGGAUGUAAGGGAAGAUGCAAAUAAAGUGAAGGGGACAAUUUCUUAGGAUGUCUGGUGAAGAUAAAAGGAAUCUGACAAUGACUUGAAAGGCAUGUGAAGCAUAAUGGACGUGCUAGUUUUCAUAUAUGAGAGGUACUACAACAUAUUUAUAUAUUAAUGGUUAAAAUUAGGUUUUCCUGAAGAAGUAGAAAAGAAACCCAAGAUAUCAGAGUAAUUUUUUUCUUACACUCCCUCCUCUUUCAUCUCAUUCCUUAAAUUCUGUAAUUCUAAACAAUUAGAAUCUACUGUAAUCCACUAUGUCUAAUUUUAUGUUCCUUAUUGAACUAUUGCCUAUGAUACUCACUUGUCUUCUUCUAGACUGAGUACUGGCUAGUCUAUGGAAUCUAGAAAAAUGGUACAGAUGAACCUGUUUCCAAGGCAGUAACAGAGAUGCAGACGUACAGAACAGAUCCGUGGACGCGGUGGGUAGAGGAGGAGGGGAGGGUGAAAUGAAUUGUGAGGUUAGGAUUGAUGUAUAUACACUACCAUGUGUAAGAUAGAUAGCUCCUAGGACCUUCUGUAAAGGACAGGAAGCUCAGUUCAGUGCUCCGUGGUAAC
Molecule: long non-coding RNA, 2149 nt
Organism: Capra hircus (goat)
Lineage: Eukaryota; Metazoa; Chordata; Mammalia; Artiodactyla; Bovidae
Exons: 3
Source: RefSeq, a predicted model, not a curated record